GCCAGUUGCAUGAGCGCUGGGAAAACCACAUCCGCAAUGAUAUCUGCGAGGGCGUUCGGGUCGGGGCUUCCGGUCUCGUCCGCAGCGAGGAUAGUAAACCCGACUUGAAACUCAGGCACGAUGCCAAUGUACGAGCUUUACGAACCAAUUGUGCCCAGGACUGUGUUCACAUAUACCACCGCAGUUUGGGGAUAUUGGCCUCCCCAAUAUAUCACCCAUGGGUGCCCGACAGAGUUUGCAGGAUUGGAAGUGUGGCUAACGGGUUUGUCCCAGCAGCGAGUCUGUGCGGGUGAGAUGAGUGUUGAGGAAAGAAUGGCAUUGCCGACUCUGGAGAGAUCGGACACGGUGGAAA
Molecule: small RNA, 352 nt
Filed under: Histoplasma capsulatum var. duboisii H88
Lineage: Eukaryota; Fungi; Ascomycota; Eurotiomycetes; Onygenales; Ajellomycetaceae
Description: Histoplasma capsulatum H88 hypothetical RNA
Source: RNAcentral